Molecule: long non-coding RNA, 1360 nt
Organism: Peromyscus eremicus (cactus mouse)
Lineage: Eukaryota; Metazoa; Chordata; Mammalia; Rodentia; Cricetidae
Exons: 2
Source: RefSeq, a predicted model, not a curated record
AAGGAUGAAGUCCAUUCUGAAACAGAAAGGAAAGACUGGCUUGCAAGUUCCCAACAACUUUUCUUGGAGAAGACAUUUAAGCAUCUUAUUCAAUGUUCCUAACAAGGUGCUUUUCUGAGUGAGGAAUCUGGAAGCCACUUAAAAUUUGAGGAAGCUGUGUGCUCAGCCUAGCUAGAAGGAAAAUAGUCCCACCACUGUGAGCACACAUUACAUCUGUGGCGCUCAAAGUCUGCCGCCAGAGGUUCUCUGAGACCCAAACUAGUUUUAAAAUAAUAUUGGAAGUAAUCGCUCUUUGUUAUGGGAAUGUCAUUUACAUUGCUAAUAAAAAAGAACAGUAAGGGCAAAGCAUGAUGCUCAGAGGGUAAACGCACUUGCUGCUGAGCCUGCCUCUCCAGGUCCAUCCCCUGGAUGCACACAGUAGAAAAGCACAGGUUUCUGCAAGUUGUCCUCUGACCUCCAGACAAUAAACAAAACAGGAACACACGCACGUACGCAUGCAUGAAUGUGACUUAAGGUUAGUGCUGGCAGGGUGAUCCAGCCUAUGAAGCACUUAGCACCAAGCUUGACAGCUGGAUUUGAUACAGGGACUACAUGAAGGAGAAAUAAUUCCCAGACAUUGUCCUCUCACAGCAGCAUGCGUGUGCCCAGACACACACACAUACAAAUUGUGAAUGCAAUUUUGAAAAAGUUUUAAAAAGAACAAUGAAGUUGGGUGGUGGUGGCAGCAGCGCACGCCUUUAAUCCCAGGAGGCAGAGGCAGGGGGAUUUCUGAGAGCUCCAGGCCAACCUGCUCUACAAAGUAAGUUCUAGGACAGCCAGGGCUGUUACACAGAGAAACCCUGUCUUGAAAAACCAACAAACAACAGAAAAAGAACAAUGAAUACAAUUGCUGUUGACUUACCACAAAGGCACAAAUCAGUUGCAAGAAACCAAAGUAGCAUCCAAGUGUCCUUUGAUGGCACGAUACAAAAACAGCUGUCUCACUUAAAUCUCAGGUUAAACACUAAAAGUUAUUAGUUCUAAGUAGACAUCCCCCAGGUAUGGUGGCACACACCUAGGAUCCCAACACUUAGGUCCAUGCAAAAGUUCAUGGUCAUACUCAGAUCCAUGGAGAGUACAAGUCAAUCUAGGUAAAUGAGACUCGGUCUCAAAAAAAAAAAAAAAAAAAAAAAAAGCCCAAGCAAACCCCCAAAUUCUCUUUUGUUUGUUGUUUUUGUAAGGCAUGGAAGAUCACCUCGAGUUGAAGGUACAUAAUGUGUUCUACACAAGUCUGGGCUACAGACUGGUCUUUGUCUCAAACUCUUAACAACAAAACCCCAAAACACUUCUCAAAAUAAAUAAAAUACAUAUAUUACAGAUU